This 1345-nucleotide ribosomal RNA is filed under the name uncultured bacterium. Its description in RNAcentral is "partial 16S ribosomal RNA". It matches the Rfam family "Bacterial small subunit ribosomal RNA", at positions 28 to 1381 of the family's 1533-position model. The record is from RNAcentral.
GACGAACGCUGGCGGCGUGCUUAACACAUGCAAGUCGAACGGAAAGGCCCUGCUUUUGUGGGGUGCUCGAGUGGCGAACGGGUGAGUAACACGUGAGUAACCUGCCCUUGACUUUGGGAUAACUUCAGGAAACUGGGGCUAAUACCGGAUAGGAGCUCCUGCUGCAUGGUGGGGGUUGGAAAGUUUCGGCGGUUGGGGAUGGACUCGCGGCUUAUCAGCUUGUUGGUGGGGUAGUGGCUUACCAAGGCUUUGACGGGUAGCCGGCCUGAGAGGGUGACCGGCCACAUUGGGACUGAGAUACGGCCCAGACUCCUACGGGAGGCAGCAGUGGGGAAUAUUGCACAAUGGGCGGAAGCCUGAUGCAGCAACGCCGCGUGCGGGAUGACGGCCUUCGGGUUGUAAACCGCUUUCGCCUGUGACGAAGCGUGAGUGACGGUAAUGGGUAAAGAAGCACCGGCUAACUACGUGCCAGCAGCCGCGGUGAUACGUAGGGUGCGAGCGUUGUCCGGAUUUAUUGGGCGUAAAGGGCUCGUAGGUGGUUGAUCGCGUCGGAAGUGUAAUCUUGGGGCUUAACCCUGAGCGUGCUUUCGAUACGGGUUGACUUGAGGAAGGUAGGGGAGAAUGGAAUUCCUGGUGGAGCGGUGGAAUGCGCAGAUAUCAGGAGGAACACCAGUGGCGAAGGCGGUUCUCUGGGCCUUUCCUGACGCUGAGGAGCGAAAGCGUGGGGAGCGAACAGGCUUAGAUACCCUGGUAGUCCACGCUGUAAACGGUGGGUACUAGGUGUGGGGUCCAUUCCACGGGUUCCGUGCCGUAGCUAACGCUUUAAGUACCCCGCCUGGGGAGUACGGCCGCAAGGCUAAAACUCAAAGGAAUUGACGGGGCCCCGCACAAGCGGCGGAGCAUGCGGAUUAAUUCGAUGCAACGCGUAGAACCUUACCUGGGUUUGACAUGGAUCGGGAGUGCUCAGAGAUGGGUGUGCCUCUUUUGGGGUCGGUUCACAGGUGGUGCAUGGCUGUCGUCAGCUCGUGUCGUGAGAUGUUGGGUUAAGUCCCGCAACGAGCGCAACCCUUGUUCACUGUUGCCAGCACGUUAUGGUGGGGACUCAGUGGAGACCGCCGGGGUCAACUCGGAGGAAGGUGGGGGUGACGUCAAGUCAUCAUGCCCCUUAUGUCAGGGCUUCACGCAUGCUACAAUGGCUGGUACAGAGAGUGGCGAGCCUGUGAGGGUGAGCGAAUCUCGGAAAGCCGGUCUCAGUUCGGAUUGGGGUCUGCAACUCGACCUCAUGAAGUCGGAGUCGCUAGUAAUCGCAGAUCAGCAACGCUGCGGUGAAUACGUUCCCGGGGCU